UACGUAGGUGGCGAGCGUUGUCCGGAUUUACUGGGCGUAAAGAGCGCGCAGGCGGUCGUCCAAGUCGCGUGUGAAAGCCCCCGGCUCAACUGGGGAGGGUCACGCGAUACUGAUCGACUCGAAGGCAGGAGAGGGUAGUGGAAUUCCCGGUGUAGUGGUGAAACGCGUAGAUAUCGGGAGGAACACCAGUGGCGAAGGCGACUACCUGGCCUGUUCUUGACGCUGAGGCGCGAAAGCUAGGGGAGCAAACGGG
RNAcentral lists this ribosomal RNA (253 nucleotides) under uncultured bacterium. RNAcentral describes it as "partial 16S ribosomal RNA". It matches the Rfam family "Bacterial small subunit ribosomal RNA", at positions 524 to 776 of the family's 1533-position model. The record is from RNAcentral.